CCGAUUCUCCUCUUCAUCACUGACGUCGUCUCCCCUCUCGCGACGCCCUUUUCCUCUUGUCGAUUCAUUUCUUCUCCCCGAUUUCUACCCAAGUCGAAUCCCUUCCACCUCCGUCGACUCCUCCCUCUUCCUCAUCUUCUCUUUUCCCAAUCUCCUCCCCUAAGCCAUCUUCGCCUCUUCGCUCCACCACCAGGCGCCAUAGAUCGGGGCCAGUCGACGGCUAGCCGCCUGAGUGCCACUUGAUCUCCUCUCUCCUAGUUGCAGACGCAUUUGCUCAUCAGAAGCCAAGCAUCUGAUCCCACGUCAUUAGCCGAGCCCUAGAUGUCGAUCCCCAACCAACCCAGCGUGCUAGAUCUCUACUAGAAGUUGUUGAAUGCGUUGGAUCUCUGCUCGACAUUGCAUCUCCGAUCUUAGGGUUGAUCUUCUCGAGUCGACCUCUUCCUCCUCCACUCCACAUCGCUGCUCGAUUUCGCCGGAUCCCUACUUGGUGUCAUCAUACGAUCGCAUCAGGUUCCUAUUAGCCAUUGUCGAUUGAUUAUGCCAGUGCCACAUGGUCGCCGUUCUCUUCUCUGCCUUGGCUUGACACCACAGCAGCCACCGCCAAUCUCGUGGCACUGAUUUUGGUGUCACCACUGAAGCUCCUACGUCCUCCAUUCCACCGGUGACAUAGAUAUGGGGUGCUAGAUUUGGAGACUAUCGGAUAUUCUAGCUAUGGUCACAUUUUUUUUUCUAGCAGCAGGUGCUCCGUCGGUGAGUUAACAGGGAAGUACACGGAUAUAGGAUAUUGAUUCGAGACAAGUGUCUCGACGUGGAAUUGUUUAGCACGACCGACAGAUAAAGACAGGUACCUUUGACUUAUCUUUUUUGAUAUUGUCAUUCUGAUAUGCGUAAUAGGUUAUAGCUAGUAGUAAUGGUUAUGUUUAUAUUUGCUUGGUAUGUCACUACUUGAUAUCCGUAGUAUGCCCAUAUUGUUAUCUGUUAUGCAUUUAUGUUUUAUGCCUCUUGAUUCUUGUCAUGUGUAUUUAUAUUCAUAGAAAUAGUGACAUACAAUGUGUUACCGGGUAUAAGCCUAGCUACUAGAUAUACUUGGCAUGUGUACCUAGAUUUAUUAUCUGGCAUGUGUACCUAGUUUUAUUAUCUGGUAUGUGUACUUAGUUUUAUUAUCUAGCAUGUGUACCUAGUUUUAUUAUCCGGCAUGUAUACCUAGAUCGUUGUUAUGGACUCGAUUUUCCUUUUUGGUAUAUAUUAUAUGGAGGUUGAUAUUUUUAGGAGUUACAUGCUUUAGUGUCAUGCACCAUUUUGAAUGAUUGCAUGCUGAGCGAUUGUCGGCUCCUUUAUAGUUGAGCACAUUGCCAGUUACAUGAUCUUUACACACAAUCACUCAUGGGUUAGUGGUACAUCAGGUAGGGUGUGUGCAGUUUGUUCUGUCAAGGCUCCGCUGGUCCACUCAUGGGCAGUAUGACUGCAGCGUCGUAGCGGGCAGGGAUCCCUCCUCUUGACUAUGACACAGGGAGAUGAGAGCUUAGGCUCUCCCACUAUGUUUGGGGUAGGAGGAUAAAUGAACUCCGACAACAUACUGUCCACUCGGUCACUUAGGAGUAGUGAUGGUAGAGUGCACAGUUAUCAUAGCUCUACCCACUCGACCUCACCAUCCCGUGUCAGGCGGUUGACUAGCGUUAGGGGUGACUAUGUCAUUUGCAUCAUAUGCAUGGAUUGUAUUUAUUGCUUGUGAUUGCUGCAUUUUGGAUGCUGCAUUUUAGUGGUUGCAUAUGAUUGACAUGCAUACAGGAGACAUGAGGUAUUUGGUCGGACGAUCCUUGUAUCCGGAUAGGAGAUCCUGGUGAGUACAUCUUCUUCUGUUGUUCAGUUUUGCAUUUCUUAUUAUCAUUCAGAAGACUGUACUGCAUGAUUAUUGCUGAUAGUUAUGUCUUACUAUGCAUGUCUGAUCGAUACCCACUAAGUUCUUGAACUCACUCCAUUGAUUAUUUCCUAUUUCAGGUUGAAUUCGCCUAGAGAUCCUGUCCACCAGUCCAAUGUCACAUUGAGCGACUUCUUCCGUUCUUGCUUUCGUUCGCUUUAUUGGUUUUGGACUUAUUCAUGUAUAUGUAUCUUUGUAUGGAAUUUAGCUUUGUGUUUUCUUGUAUUUGGUUUGAUGUAAUAGUGUCAAGUCGGAUCAGCUCACAGUUAGUUGUUUUGUUCGCUUCAUGUUCGUUAUUUUGUGAUUUUCGCUAUGUAAUGUUUCAGCCAUGUGGUCUACUUAUAAACUGCGUGGCUGUGUUUAUAUCUAGCUGUGUGGGUUGAUGUUGCUUGUGAGUAGCCAUGUGGCAAUGUAUUUAUGCUUCAGAUUGUCACUGGUACAAGGGAGAUGCUAUCCGUUUACCGGGCAGGGACUCCUCUGGGGUGUGACAUUCUUAGC
Molecule: long non-coding RNA, 2416 nt
Organism: Zingiber officinale
Lineage: Eukaryota; Viridiplantae; Streptophyta; Magnoliopsida; Zingiberales; Zingiberaceae
Exons: 3
Source: RefSeq, a predicted model, not a curated record